GAGAGUUAAACAGUACGUGAAAUUGUUGAAAGGGAAACGAUUGAAGCCAGUCGUACCUUCGGGUAAUCAGCCUUUCGGGUGCGAUUCUGUGGAGUGUGAGGAGCUUAAACACCUUCAUGUUUUGCAUAUUCGUGCACAUUUGGUGUACUUGUCCGUGUGGUGGGUUAACAUCAAUUUCGGUCGUCAUAAAAUGAUUGGAGGAAUGUAGCUUUGGUCUCGUAUCGAAGUGUUAUAGACUCUGGUAGAUGUGACGAUUGGGAUUGAGGAUUGCAACGGAUACCCUUCGGGGCUACUCGUCUGAUCUCUGAAGGUUGCUCCGGUACCGAAAGCGUGCUUACGGUCAUCGAAAGUGAUUUUCAAAAGGUUAGAACGGGUUAAAUUCGUUAAGGAUGUUGACGUAAUGGCUUUAAACGA
This 414-nucleotide ribosomal RNA is filed under the name uncultured Glomeraceae. RNAcentral describes it as "partial 28S ribosomal RNA". The record is from RNAcentral. Lineage: Eukaryota; Fungi; Glomeromycota; Glomeromycetes; Glomerales; Glomeraceae.